CGCCGCCGAAGUUUGAACUGCGCCCGCAGCCGCUCCCUAUUGGCCCGCGAGGACGCACGCCGUGCGUGGAGCGCACCACUCUCAUGCGCUGGCGGGGGAGCAGCCGAGGGAAGCACAGUCAGGAGCAGACGUUGGAGAAGGACAGACUGGAACUGCAGCAGGAGCUGGAGGAAUCACAAAAUUCUGCUUUCUGCUGUUUUACAGUAGCAGCUGUGCACAAUAUUGUCAAAGAAUAUGUCAAUAAGAAUAUAUCUCAAGGAAGAAUGUAUGUCAAAGAAUAUAUCAAGAAUUAUGGUCACUUUAGAUAAAAAAACAUUCCUUUUAUAAAAAGAAAAUAAACUUGGAUGCAAUAUUCCAUGCUGAACUGGCAUAUGGGAGAUGUUAUAAACCUUACUUUCUGUUUAUCACCUCUAGAACAUCCCUGAUUAUAACGGUUCAGGAUAUUGGAUUUACAUCAGGAAAAAAUCUCAACUAAGUAACCAGAUGGGUUUUCUUCUUCGGAACUAGACAUGGAGGAGCUCAGCUGUGAAGAGGUUAGUGGUGCUGUGACUGCAACUAUUUGUACGGUCAGGAGAGGCAGCACUACAGAGGAGACCACAACUUCCUCCCUUUCUCCCUUCCCUUCUCACCAUCCGUCCACCCCUUCCCUGGUAUAUUUGGUACCUGUUUCACUCCGAUAAGAACUCACCAUCUCUUCAUCUAGUUCUUCAUGAUCUUCUUCUCCACUCUCCUUGAAGAACAAAGCUUUACACUUUUCUGCAGCUUCAAAUGUUGGAGGGAUCAGAUGUUCGUCUCGAAGAGUGUCCAUUUUUUUCCGGAACUGUGCCCACUUCACAUCCUGGCUGAUAGUCUCAAUUAUGUCUACUGUAUUUGUGGGCUGUUCAUCCAGGAUCUUUGUUAGUAUGUUAGCAAAAUGAUCGUAUCUGUCAUAUAAAUGUAAAUAUUGUUGGCUUACUAUACAAAAGUCUUAGAAUAUUAAGCUUUUAGUAAAAAAAGUAAAGACUAAUCAUCUGGAUCUUUGGAGAAAUCAUUGGAACAGAAAGGGGAUCAUGGAGCCUUAAAGCAAAUAAGGGUUAAAACUUGUCUGAUUAUACUUAAGAGCAUUCCCAUCCUCUAUUUCUAGUAUAUACCACAUCUAUCUAUGAGCUGAAUCUGAACUUAAACUUAUUCUCAAUAUCAACUUGUUUUUGAACUCUAUAAAAUUCCAGUAGGGAUUUUGUUUCUGAGAGGUGUUGGACACUAGUAUGCAAGUUUCACUAGUGAUGAAAUAUUGCACAUACAACACUAUCCCAUUCUGUAUGUACUUCCCUUUGUCCUUUUACUUUUCUCUCCACUUAUACUUCCUACCCGAUUUGACUGUGAUCCUUUUUCAGACUUACAAGUUCAGGCCAGAUUUUGUGCUGGUCUUCAGUAAAUAGGCUUUUGCAUUCUUGAUUGCCAUCAUCCGGGUUUGGGGAUCGGGAAUCUCAUCCUCAUACGGGCUGUAUGCCGGCUGGUCAAGACCAUAACCCGGCUCGUGUGGCUGGUAAGGGCCAUGCCCACUGGCAUAGGCAUCUUGUGGGUAGGCACUUUGUGGUUCCUGUGCAGGGUCAGAUUCCGGG
Molecule: long non-coding RNA, 1601 nt
Organism: Passer domesticus (house sparrow)
Lineage: Eukaryota; Metazoa; Chordata; Aves; Passeriformes; Passeridae
Exons: 2
Source: RefSeq, a predicted model, not a curated record